Molecule: ribosomal RNA, 668 nt
Filed under: Russula mattsmithii
Lineage: Eukaryota; Fungi; Basidiomycota; Agaricomycetes; Russulales; Russulaceae
Description: eukaryotic LSU rRNA
Rfam family: 5.8S ribosomal RNA (bases 194-351)
Source: RNAcentral
AAGUAAAAGUCGUAACAAGGUUUCCGUAGGUGAACCUGCGGAAGGAUCAUUAUCGUAUAACAGAGGUGUAAGGGCUGUCGCUGACCUUUAAAGGUUGUGCACGCCUAAGCCCUCUCACACAAUCCAUCUCACCCCUUUUGUGCAUCACCGCGUGGGUCCCCUUUGCCGGGAGGGCUUGCGUUUUUAUAUAAACCUUGACACAAUGCAGAAUGUUUUCUUUUUUUGCGAUUAUAUGCAAUAAAUACAACUUCAACAACGCGUAUGUGAAUUGCAGAAUUCAGUGAAUCAUCGAAUCUUUGAACGCACCUUGCGCCCCUUGGCAUUCCGAGGGGCACACCCGUUUGAGUGUCGUGAAAUUCUCAAAGCCCCCUUUCCUUUGGAAAAGGAGUUUUGGACUUGGAGGUUCAAUGCUUGCCUUUCAAAGCAAGCUCCUCUCAAAUAAAUUAGUGGGGUCCGCUUUGCUGAUCCUUAACGUGAUAAGAUGUUUUUAUGUUUUGGAUUUAGCACUGUCCCUUGGAUGCCUGCUCCUAACUGUCUCACGGACAAUGAUGGUGCUUCGGUCACUACCAUUUAUAUUGGUGGAAGGCUGGACCCACAAAAAUAAAACCUUGACCUCAAAUCGGGUGAGACUACCCGCUGAACUUAAGCAUAUCAAUUAAGCGGAGGAA